UUCGCCUACGGGACGCAGCAGUGGGGGAUAUUGCACAAUGGGGGGAACCCUGAUGCAGCGACGCCGCGUGGGCGAUGGAGUACUUCGGUAUGUAAAGCCCUAUCAGCAGGGAAGAAAAUGACGGUACCUGACUAAGAAGCCCCGGCUAAAUACGUGCCAGCAGCCGCGGUAAUACGUAUGGGGCAAGCGUUGUCCGGAUUUAUUGGGCGUAAAGCGAGUGCAGGCGGUUCAAUAAGUCUGUUUUGAAAGCCUU
This 253-nucleotide ribosomal RNA is filed under the name uncultured bacterium. RNAcentral describes it as "partial 16S ribosomal RNA". It matches the Rfam family "Bacterial small subunit ribosomal RNA", at positions 334 to 604 of the family's 1533-position model. The record is from RNAcentral.